RNAcentral lists this ribosomal RNA (236 nucleotides) under uncultured Pseudomonas sp. Its description in RNAcentral is "partial 16S ribosomal RNA". It matches the Rfam family "Bacterial small subunit ribosomal RNA", at positions 1147 to 1382 of the family's 1533-position model. Lineage: Bacteria; Pseudomonadati; Pseudomonadota; Gammaproteobacteria; Pseudomonadales; Pseudomonadaceae. The record is from RNAcentral.
UGGCCGGUGACAACCGGAGGGAAGGUGGGGAGUGGACGUCAAAUCAUCCAUGCCCUUAUGAUCUGGGCUACACACGUGCUACAAUGGUCGGUACAAAGGGUUGCCAAGCCGCGAGGUGGAGCUAAUCCCAUAAAACCGAUCGUAGUCCGGAUCGCAGUCUGCAACUCGACUGCGUGAAGUCGGAAUCGCUAGUAAUCGUGAAUCAGAAUGUCACGGUGAAUACGUUCCCGGGCCUU